CCUGUCUCUCCAAUUUCCACAAGUGGAUCAUCCUGAUUCUCUGCUGUCUCUUACUUUGGCAACUCAACAACAAAUGAUUAGCAUAGACAAAAGAAUUGAAGGAAGGAAGAAGCCGAAUCCUUGGUGUUUUUGAAGAGAACAAAAAAAAACUAUUUGAUGUGAACUUUUUGGAAUACUUGGCUGCUCCCUCAGUCAACAAGAAGUACAACCACCCUCAAGUUCAUUCCUCCUAGCCAAUGAAAGAGAAAUACUUCUCUGGACCCGAAAAAAAAGAUGGAUUAAAGGGACACAUUUAGGCAUUAUUAAAAGAUGGGUCCACAUGAAACCAUCAUUGGGAUGACAUUCAAUAAGGAAGAAAAAAGAAUAAUGAUA
RNAcentral lists this long non-coding RNA (372 nucleotides) under Pan troglodytes (chimpanzee). RNAcentral describes it as "lncRNA (ENSPTRG00000053552.1)". Lineage: Eukaryota; Metazoa; Chordata; Mammalia; Primates; Hominidae. The record is from RNAcentral.